Molecule: long non-coding RNA, 351 nt
Filed under: Physcomitrium patens
Lineage: Eukaryota; Viridiplantae; Streptophyta; Bryopsida; Funariales; Funariaceae
Description: long non-coding RNA (PPAT_LNC012509)
Source: RNAcentral
UUUCUUCCAAUAUGAUAUGAUGUUCAUAGACAUCAGCGGGGAUACCUUAUAGAUCAUCAUAAGUCCAAGCAAAAGCAAAUUUAUGAGGUAAGAAAAAGUCUAUCCAACAAGUCAACUCUUGUUCUUUAAUACCUUCGUAGACCUUAAUUAGCUGAGGUUCGACCGUGGUUGCUAAGUUAAUAGUUUGACAUACAAGUUCAGCAACAAUACUCUGUUUCAAUUCUCGCAGUGAUUUAAAGUUACUCGGUAUGUCCGACAUAUGCGAAUUAAUGGAUCUCGUCUCGAGGGCACUAACAUGGUGCACAUCGUGCUGAGGUUUCCAGACAAUACUAACAUAAGAAGAGUUUUCCA